RNAcentral lists this long non-coding RNA (1335 nucleotides) under Felis catus (domestic cat). Its description in RNAcentral is "lncRNA (ENSFCAG00000045200.2)". The record is from RNAcentral. Lineage: Eukaryota; Metazoa; Chordata; Mammalia; Carnivora; Felidae.
AAUGGCAGCGGCCGUCGCACGCAGUAGGCACCUCCACCCCCCUAAUGUGCUGAACAGCUUCCCACACGCCCGAAAAAGGGGUGCAGUUCCCCUGCCCGCCGCGAGGGGGCGCCUCGCGCAGAUCCUUCUUGCUCUGGGGCUGGCGCCAGCCGCCGGGAUGAUUCAAAGGGCGAGUCUUUACCCAGCGCCUCCAGAGUUCCCGGGCUGCCUUAGGCUCUCGGGAGGGCAGGCCCGCGGCGAGCCGGUACCCGUUGCGGGGGAUCCCGGCCGGCAUCUGGGGGUCGUCCCGGGAACGCGGGCCGGGAUCACGAGCACGUUCCAAGCUGCGCGCGGCGGGGUCGCACAGGCAGGCGCGGAGCGCUUCCGGGAGGAGAGUUCCCGCUGCACUCGCGACCUCUGACCCUAGCCUACGGGCCUGCAGGCGCUCGCGGGUCUGGCCGGCCGCGCUCCGCCCCAGGCCCCUCCGCGCAGGCGCUGCCAGCCGCGGUUCCCAUGGCGACGGGGGACGCUUCCCCGCGCGAGGCCCCGCCCCCAGCAGGCCAGGCUGCGCGGGGCCGCUGCGGCGCCGGCAGGUGCCGCGGGCUGCGGGCAGGUGGCGGCGCGGCGCGGGCAGGCGGCGGCGGCUGCAGGGUAGGUUGUGCGGCGGCCGCCGGCGGUGGGGGCGGGCUGUCUGCCCCCAGUCCCCCGCCCGCGGAGGGGCUGGGAGGCGGCGGUGGGCGAUGGCCGCCAAGUUUCUGCUCGGCUGAGGCCCCGGGAGAAAAGUUGGCAAAGUUGGCCCGGGAAGAGGUGGGGACCCGGUGGAUCUCCCCUGGCUCCGGGUCUGCGUGGAGGGAGGAUCCCGAUUUGGAGCCGGGGGAUCUGUCUCCCGAGACUUGGGAGUGGAUCCCGCGGGAAAAUCCCGCACAGCGCAGCCAAUGGAUCCCGCGCCACCAGGCUAAAGACUUGGGAGUCGAUCCCAGGAGUGGAUCGGGCACCGGCGGCCUGGGGUCCCUGCCAUUCCAUCUCCAGCCUGAGGAUGGCGGGGGUGUCCCUAAGGAGGAAAGGCGGCGACCCCUUCCUGUCUUGAGUCACCAGGCUGUUGCUGAGGUGGCUGUAGGAGCACGGGAGAAAGGUGUCCCUAAGGUGAAAAAGUGGCAGCCCCUUCCUGUCAUGAGUCACCAGGCUGUUGCUGAGGUGAGCUUCCUGUCUUUCCCUGAGGAGCACAAGUGCUGUCUUAGAGGCUUUGCAAUCAACUUCUGUUGUAAACAUGACAAUCUACAUUUUCCAUGAUAUUGUUACUUUCCCUGAUGGGGACAGUGGUGAGUGGUUGCCUCUUGCCAACUGUAACUUGAUCAA